CUGCCCUAUGCAGGGGGAUAAGCGGAAGAAAUUCCGUCUAAUACCGCAUAACACCUUUAGGAGACAUCUUCUUGGGGUCAAAGGAGGCGACUCCGGCAUAGGAUGGCCAUGCGUCGCACUAGCUAGUCGGCGGGGUAACGGCCCACCGAGGCGACGAUGCGUAGGGGUUCUGAGAGGAAGGUCCCCCACACUGGUACUGAGACACGGACCAGACUCCUACGGGAGGCAGCAGUGAGGAAUAUUGGUCAAUGGGCGCAAGCCUGAACCAGCCAAGUCGCGUGAGGGAUGACGGUCCUAUGGAUUGUAAACCUCUUUUGUCGGGGAGCAAAGCGCGGUACGAGUACCGUGAAGGAGAGUACCCGAAGAAAAAGCAUCGGCUAACUCCGUGCCAGCAGCCGCGGUAAUACGGAGGAUGCGAGCGUUAUCCGGAUUUAUUGGGUUUAAAGGGUGCGUAGGCGGAUUAGUAAGUCAGCGGUAAAAAUGCGGUGCUCAACGCCGUAUCGCCGUUGAAACUGCGGGUCUUGAGUGAGCGAGAAGUAUGCGGAAUGCGUGGUGUAGCGGUGAAAUGCAUAGAUAUCACGCAGAACUCCGAUUGCGAAGGCAGCAUACCGGCGCUCAACUGACGCUGAGGCACGAAAGCGUGGGGAUCGAACAGGAUUAGAUACCCUGGUAGUCCACGCAGUAAACGAUGA
Molecule: ribosomal RNA, 692 nt
Filed under: uncultured bacterium
Lineage: Bacteria
Description: bacterial SSU rRNA
Rfam family: Bacterial small subunit ribosomal RNA
Source: RNAcentral